RNAcentral lists this ribosomal RNA (884 nucleotides) under uncultured marine bacterium. Its description in RNAcentral is "bacterial SSU rRNA". It matches the Rfam family "Bacterial small subunit ribosomal RNA", at positions 83 to 1002 of the family's 1533-position model. The record is from RNAcentral.
UCUUCGGAUCUAGUGGCAGACGGGUGAGUAACGCGUGGGAACCUGCCCAGUAGUAGAGAAUAACUUGAGGAAACUUAAGCUAAUACUUUAUACACCCUCCGGGGAAAAGCUUUAUGCGCUAUUGGAUGGGCCCGCGUUAGAUUAGUUUGUUGGUGAGGUAAUGGCUCACCAAGACUACGAUCUAUAGCUGGUCUGAGGGGAUGAUCAGCCACACUGGGACUGAGACACGGCCCAGACUCCUACGGGAGGCAGCAGUGGGGAAUAUUGGACAAUGGGGGCAACCCUGAUCCAGCGAUGCCGCGUGAGUGAUGAAGGCCUUCGGGUUGUAAAACUCUUUCGUCAGGGAAGAUAAUGACGGUACCUGAAGAAGAAGAUCCGGCUAACUCCGUGCCAGCAGCCGCGGUAAUACGGAGGGAUCUAGCGUUAUUCGGAAUUACUGGGCGUAAAGCGAGCGUAGGCGGAUUUGUAAGUUGGAGGUGAAAUCCCAGAGCUUAACUCUGGAACUGCCUUCAAAACUACAUUUCUUGAGUUUGGUAGAGGAGAGUGGAAUUCCUAGUGUAGAGGUGAAAUUCGUAGAUAUUAGGAGGAACACCAGUGGCGAAGGCGACUCUCUGGGCCAAUACUGACGCUGAGGUUCGAAAGCAUGGGUAGCGAACAGGAUUAGAUACCCUGGUAGUCCAUGCAGUAAACGAUGAGUGCUAGAUGUUGGGAAUUUAAAUUUCCAGUAUCGCAGUUAACGCGUUGAGCACUCCGCCUGGGAAGUACGGCCGCAAGGCUAAAACUCAAAUGAAUUGGCGGGGACCCGCACAAGCGGUGGAUCAUGUGGUUUAAUUCGAAGAUACGCGAAGAACCUUACCGGCCCUUGACAUACCAAUCGCGGACUU